GAUGAACGCUAGCUACAGGCUUAACACAUGCAAGUCGAGGGGAAACGACAUCGAAAGCUUGCUUUUGAUGGGCGUCGACCGGCGCACGGGUGAGUAACGCGUAUCCAACCUGCCCAUCACUUGGGAAUAACCUUGCGAAAGUAAGACUAAUACCCAAUGACAUCCCACGAAGACAUCUGAAUGGGAUUAAAGAUUUAUCGGUGAUGGAUGGGGAUGCGUCUGAUUAGCUUGUUGGCGGGGUAACGGCCCACCAAGGCAACGAUCAGUAGGGGUUCUGAGAGGAAGGUCCCCCACAUUGGAACUGAGACACGGUCCAAACGCCUACGGGAGGCAGCAGUGAGGAAUAUUGGUCAAUGGGCGAGAGCCUGAACCAGCCAAGUAGCGUGCAGGAUGACGGCCCUAUGGGUUGUAAACUGCUUUUAUAAGGGAAUAAAGUGGGUCUCGUGAGACUUUUUGCAUGUACCUUAUGAAUAAGGACCGGCUAAUUCCGUG
RNAcentral lists this ribosomal RNA (492 nucleotides) under uncultured bacterium. RNAcentral's name for it is "partial 16S ribosomal RNA". It matches the Rfam family "Bacterial small subunit ribosomal RNA", at positions 28 to 507 of the family's 1533-position model. The record is from RNAcentral.